Molecule: long non-coding RNA, 340 nt
Organism: Triticum aestivum (bread wheat)
Lineage: Eukaryota; Viridiplantae; Streptophyta; Magnoliopsida; Poales; Poaceae
Exons: 3
Source: RefSeq, a predicted model, not a curated record
UUCCUAGUUUGUGACUUGCAAAUUAUCUCUCUGAUUCGGCCGGCAGAUCUCUCAAGAUUGGUCGUUUUGGAGAUAGAACGCUGGUGUUGAGGCUGUGUUCACCGUCUUGGAUUUCACCCCCCACAGCCUUCAUCUUGGUCGCCGCCGUGGCGUCAGCAACACCAGAUCUCUCCAGAUUGAUUGUUUUGGAGGGAGAACACUGGUGUUGAGGCUGAGAGCUCCGAGGCACUCUCUUGGAUUUCACCGCCACAACCUUCGUCUUGGUCUCUGCAGUGGCCUCGACACACCGGUACACAACCGCCCGGUCUUCACUCAGGCACUCAGCUCAGCCUAAUUUGAG